This is a small nucleolar RNA of Eleginops maclovinus (Patagonian blennie), 133 nucleotides long. RefSeq annotates it as small nucleolar RNA SNORA84. The record is from RefSeq and is a predicted model, not a curated record. The transcript has a single exon. Lineage: Eukaryota; Metazoa; Chordata; Actinopteri; Perciformes; Eleginopidae.
GCCUUGUGGUUCCUAGAGUCAGCUGAUGUGCUGAGCUGUGGGUUUUUGUGAACAGGCGCUCAUUGUUUCUGUGAUUUGAAGCAUGGAUUCUGCCCUUAUUGCAGACUUCCAUAGCCCGGUUGCAGAUACAAGC